UAUUGGUUCAACAGACAUUCAUUAAGUGCCCACUUAAUAGCAGGCAUGAUCCUCAGUUUAGGUCUGGAAAGACGAAUAAGAGUAUCUGUGGGAGACCAACCUUGAACGUGACUGAGUCACACUCCUCCGCUGGGUGCUGAAGCGCUCAGUCAAGAAAUGUGGCAGAGCUUUCCCAACCCUUCUUGGGUUGGAGGGACAGUGUCAUCGCCUGGGCAUGUCUUGCUACAGCCCCAUGGGUGGAGCUACGCUCACCUGUUCCUUUGUAAUAUUACCCCUUUCCCUGUUUAGAAUAGAAUGUUCCAUGGAAGUGCCUUAUGUGUGUCCCCUUCUCUUACUGUGCCCUUGGGUGUGUCAACCUGCUGACAGUGGACAUCAUGAAGAUAGACUCAGACCCCUGAAACCUGGCCCCUUGCCUCAUUGAAUAGCUUCUCCUCAAUAAAAUGGGUCAGCGCGUGCUCUCGCGUGCUCUCUCUCUCUCUUCCUGUGAACCCUUAAGGUCAGAGGAGCCAUCACAGUGACCUCAAAGAAAAAGGUAUUAGUGUCUCUUGUGUGGUUAUUUUGCACAGCCCAGUCAGCCCAGUUUUCCUGGAGUGACUCCUGAGCCUUUUAAUCGCGAACAGAAACCCGGCAAGUAUCCUCAAGGAAUUCACUAUUAGCAGAGGACCCCAGCCCUAGGGCUGACAAUGUCACAUGAUGUGACCAGUGCUGUGGGAACAGGGAGAGCCAAUCACCCACCCUAGCCACGUUGCAGAAGGUCUAUUGGAGGUCUGAGCUGAGUCCUAAGAAAUGAGCUGUGUGUUAUUCUACUAUUGUUGCUGGACAAAUUACAUACAUUUAGUGGAUUAAAUGACAGAUAUCUGUACUCCUAUAGUUCUGAAGGCCAGAAAUCCAAAGUACGUCUUAUGGGACUAAACUCAAGGUGUUUGCUGGGCUGGUUUCUUCUUGAUGGUCCAGGAAAUAAUCCAUCCCUUGUAUCCAGUUUGUGAUGGGUCCAGAUAUUCUUUGGUUUGUAGUCCCAUCACCCUAAUCUCUGCCCCCAUGGUCACAUUGCCACCUCUUCUAUGUGCCCUUUCCCCUUUCUUUUUUAUAAGCACACACCUGCAGUCCCAGAUAUUUG
Molecule: long non-coding RNA, 1117 nt
Filed under: Marmota monax (woodchuck)
Lineage: Eukaryota; Metazoa; Chordata; Mammalia; Rodentia; Sciuridae
Source: RNAcentral